CUACUUGGCUGCUCUCUUCUUAACAUGGUACUUGUUGGUUUCUUGAAAAUGGCCAUUACAACGAAUUUUGACUAGUAGAGGGUUUUUACAGAGGAAGUUGAGUGUAGUGUGAUGGAUGAAGUGUUGUAAAUUGGAAGCGGACUCCCAGGGAUUGUUCUAUGUAGGGACUUCUGUAUUAUGAGGUGUCUAGCUCCUUCAUUAAAUAAAAUGAAUUACAAAGUUGUGAGGAGUGG
RNAcentral lists this small RNA (233 nucleotides) under Vigna angularis var. angularis. RNAcentral describes it as "Non-protein coding transcript". The record is from RNAcentral. Lineage: Eukaryota; Viridiplantae; Streptophyta; Magnoliopsida; Fabales; Fabaceae.